This 465-nucleotide ribosomal RNA is filed under the name uncultured bacterium. RNAcentral's name for it is "partial 16S ribosomal RNA". It matches the Rfam family "Bacterial small subunit ribosomal RNA", at positions 28 to 507 of the family's 1533-position model. The record is from RNAcentral.
GACGAACGCUGGCGGCGUGCUUAACACAUGCAAGUCGAACGGAAAGGCCCCUUUGGGGGUACUCGAGUGGCGAACGGGUGAGUAACACGUGAGUAACCUGCCCUUGACUUCGGGAUAACUUCAGGAAACUGGGGCUAAUACCGGAUAGGAAUCCUUGCUGCAUGGUGGGGGUUGGAAAGCUUCGGCGGUUUUGGAUGGACUCGCGGCUUAUCAGCUUGUUGGUGGGGUAGUGGCUUACCAAGGCUUUGACGGGUAGCCGGCCUGAGAGGGCGACCGGCCACAUUGGGACUGAGGUACGGCCCAGACUCCUACGGGAGGCAGCAGUGGGGAAUAUUGCACAAUGGGCGGAGGCCUGAUGCAGCAACGCCGCGUGCGGGAUGACGGCCUUCGGGUUGUAAACCGCUUUCAGCAGGGGAGAAGCUUGUGGUGACGGUACCUGCAGAAGAAGCACCGGCUAACUACGUG